CCGUACAGCUGGGGAGUUAGCGGUGCCCUGUACCUGCAAUCCGCUAUAGCAGGAGUGUUGCCCUAUCGAGGGUUUUGGAACAAAGCGCUGCCCGGAGUAAGUGGCGUUGAAGUUUGGGUCUUGUGCAACAGAAACUUGCGAACCGUGUCAGGUCAGGAAUGAAGCAGCACUAAGCAAAACUUUCUGUGUGACGCGAGGAAGCCUGAACGGAGUCAACUGCUUCGGUAACGGCUUUAGACCAUCAUUCGACAUAGGGCGUACGG
This is a non-coding RNA of Clostridium sp. CAG:167, 263 nucleotides long. It matches the Rfam family "Bacterial large signal recognition particle RNA". Rfam says of the family: The signal recognition particle (SRP) is a universally conserved ribonucleoprotein involved in the co-translational targeting of proteins to membranes. Archaeal SRP consists of a 7S RNA and homologues of the eukaryotic SRP19 and SRP54 proteins. The record is from Rfam. Lineage: Bacteria; Bacillati; Bacillota; Clostridia; Eubacteriales; Clostridiaceae.